CCUACGGGAGGCAGCAGUGGGGAAUAUUGCACAAUGGGGGAAACCCUGAUGCAGCGACGCCGCGUGAGUGAAGAAGUAUUUCGGUAUGUAAAGCUCUAUCAGUAGGGAAGAAAAUGACGGUACCUGAUUAUGAAGGCCCGUCUAACUACGUGCCAGCAGCCGCGGUAAUACGGAGGGGGCAAGCGUUAUCCGGAUUUACUGGGUGUAAAGGGAGCGUAGUGGGCAGCACAAGUCUGGAGUGAAAUGCCGGGGCUUAACCCUGGAACUGCUGUGGAAACUGUGCAGCUAGAGUGCAGGAGAGGUAAGUGGAAUGCGUAGUGUAGCGGUGAAAUGCGUAGAUAUUAGGAAGAACACCAGUGGCGAAGGCAGCUUACUGGACUAUAACUGACGUUGAGGCACGAAAGCGUGGGGAGCAAACAGGAUUAGAUACCCGUGUAGUC
RNAcentral lists this ribosomal RNA (440 nucleotides) under uncultured bacterium. RNAcentral's name for it is "partial 16S ribosomal RNA". It matches the Rfam family "Bacterial small subunit ribosomal RNA", at positions 338 to 795 of the family's 1533-position model. The record is from RNAcentral.